GCAUGGCUGAAUUCUGCUCCAGCUGGUUCUCCGUACUGGACACAGUCAGACACCAUGCAACAGCCUCGUCUCAUUUCUGCCAAAAACAAAA
Small nucleolar RNA from Poecilia formosa (Amazon molly), 91 nucleotides. The record is from Ensembl. NCBI's taxonomy places the organism in Eukaryota, Metazoa, Chordata, Actinopteri, Cyprinodontiformes, Poeciliidae.